CAAACCCCCUCGAUUCCCCUUCGAUCCACUUCUCCCCACGCGGUUCAGAACCCUCGAGGCUCGAGGAUUUGGCCGCCCGACACUCGCCAAGACGCCGCCGCCGACUCCUCCCCAAGACUACGCGCCGCUCGACGCCGGCGAUCUCCUCCGGCGUACUGGACUUCUCCCCGGUGAUAUGUUCUUAUUUUGACAGCCUGCCGCUCCGAUUCUUGGGAUCCAGUUGUCACGCCUAAUUUCGGUUCUCAAGCACCAAAAGAAGGCACAAUAAACAAGCCGAAUGGAUAAAUUUCUCCCAGGUUCUCAAUGCUAGAUGACCAUGACACCAAAAGAUGGAUACAUUUGUUUGCAUUAUCUUUGUUGCAAAAUGAUGUUGUGGCUGUGAUGAACUGUUUGCUGCGGAAGAUUAUGUUGUUAUGAUAAAUUAUGAAUGCUGGGAUUUGGGAUUCAAAGUCAUCCUGUUAUGAUAAAUUAUGUUGUUGCUGUGA
Molecule: long non-coding RNA, 485 nt
Organism: Aegilops tauschii subsp. strangulata
Lineage: Eukaryota; Viridiplantae; Streptophyta; Magnoliopsida; Poales; Poaceae
Source: RefSeq, a predicted model, not a curated record